AUUGAACGCUGGCGGCGUGCUUAACACAUGCAAGUCGUGCGGUAACAGGCGUAGCAAUACGUGCUGACGAGCGGCGAACGGGUGCGUAAUACAUGGGAAUCUGCCCUUUAGUGGGGAAUAACCCGGCGAAAGCCGGGCUAAUGCCGCAUAAGAUCUUCGGAUGAAAGCGGGGGAUCGUAAGACCUCGCGCUGAUGGAUGAGCCCAUGCCGGAUUAGCAGUUGGUGAGGUAACGGCUCACCAAGGCGACGAUCCGUAGCUGGUCUGAGAGGACGGCCAGCCACACUGGGACUGAGACACGGCCCAGACUCCUACGGGAGGCAGCAGUGGGGAAUAUUGGACAAUGGGGAAACCCUGAUCCAGCGACGCCGCGUGUGUGAAGAAGGCCUGCGGGUUGUAAAGCAC
RNAcentral lists this ribosomal RNA (403 nucleotides) under uncultured bacterium. RNAcentral's name for it is "bacterial SSU rRNA". It matches the Rfam family "Bacterial small subunit ribosomal RNA", at positions 29 to 433 of the family's 1533-position model. The record is from RNAcentral.